Long non-coding RNA from Psammomys obesus (fat sand rat), 2545 nucleotides. RefSeq lists it as uncharacterized. The record is from RefSeq and is a predicted model, not a curated record. The transcript is spliced from 2 exons. NCBI's taxonomy places the organism in Eukaryota, Metazoa, Chordata, Mammalia, Rodentia, Muridae.
UCCCAGUGUUUGACAAAAUUAGUAAAGGCCUUGGAAUCGUUUUUAGCCAUGGAAAAGGAUGGAAAGAAAUGAGGCGCUUCUCUCUGACAACCCUGCGGAAUUUAGGCAUGGGCAAAAGGACCAUUGAGGACCGAGUUCAAGAAGAGGCUCAGUGCCUUGUGGAGGAACUGAGAAGAACCAAUGGUGAGGAAAGCUUUGUGUUUUAACUUUUCCAUCCUGUUCUAAGUUGAGGUAUAAAAAAAUCUAUUGAUCGUAUUCUAAAUGUAAAGUUUUCCUUUUGUUUAUGAAUCAGAUAUCAUGAACGGAGCUUUCACUUUAAAUUUCUGAUGAGUUACAACCCAAGUACAACUAUAACUUAUAUAUUGCUAAUCAUUUCAUCAGAGAAAAAUUGCUACUGAUAAUGGUGGUAGUGACUUCAUCUACACUCAUGGGGCCCAAACCAGAUGAUAUUUGUUUUCAUUUUGUUGAACCACUUUGGUCUCCCUAAUUUCACUGAUGUUCCACUGAAGGCACAUGGUCACAGUUUCGAGUACUAAUGAAUCAAUAUUUUAAUUUCUAAGCUGAAUGUUUAGAUAUUAAACAUUAGAUAUUAUUUAGAUAGAAGUUUAUCAUGAUUUCAAAAUUAUCAUGAAUUCUUAUAUUGUGAUUUAUACAUUUAAGAAAUUACAUGUGGUAACAUCAAUCUGCUAAGGAAACAAACCUAAUAAAAUGACUAGUUUAAAUGACUUGAACUAUUGACAUUAACACUUUAUCUCAUGGUUCUCAAAGUGUAUUAUGGAUGCAUCGUCUGUCCUGUCCAUCAAUUCACCACACAGUUACUGUUUUGCAUUAGGGGAUGGGCAGAUCUUAAUUUGCUGCCAUUGUGAAUGCUACUUACCUAGAGAGCACCUGUCAGGGAAGAUUCAGGUUAUUUCUUAAAUUCUGAAGGACUUUAUCUUUAAUUUCUUUCCCCAAAAUAAAGUGAAGAAAAGACUGAAAAUCAGAUUUUACUUGUGAAUGGCAUGCAUACCAAGAAAAAUCCCAAAAGUUCACCCAUUAUCUUCUUUGCUAAAAAGAAUACAUUUCUGAAACAUUAUAAUAUGGUAAUGUUUGAAAGCUUGGUAUACAACCAACACAUUCUGGAAUUUCCCUUUCAUUACAUAUGUAACAAUUUGCUAAGCAUAUUGUCAAUUAAAGUGAUCUUUAUUUGGGAACUACAGUUAUAAUUUUGUAGUCUCCUUACAUAUGAGGAUUAUUAAUGGUUUGAGUAUAGAAGUUUCUACAGAAAGCACAUAAAAAGAAAUGUUCUUCUAUUUACUUAUUUGUAAAAAUCAUAGACAUGGCCAAUGUGAAACAAAAAAUUUAGACAUUCUUGCAAUUGUAUCACAUCAUUUUGAUAGAUAAUAACUUAAAUUUUCUAAAACCUGUGGAUGUCAACUUUAUCCAACUUAUUAAUAAGGAAUUUUGAUUGACCACGAUGACCAGUUACUUCUUUUACAAUACAUUCUAUUGAUGUUUACUCAUGGUACACUGUAAUGGAUUUCUUAAAGACCUUUUCACACUAGUGUAUAAUGUACUUUGACUAUGCUCAUCCCCAUCUUUUCUGGCCCUUUCAUAUCCAUUAUUCUUUCUCCCUUGUCUUACUUAAAUUGUACUUUUGGGUUUACUGUCAUAUAGAGCGUUCACAUCAUAUAGAGCAACACUCAUUCUUUUAAAAUUUUAAUGCAAAUGGGGGAGUCUGCGUUUUACAAUCUCCCCUCCUGGCAUUUAAUUUUAAAAUAAGAGGUUUUUAUUCAUUUCAUUCAUUACUGCAAACAAAUAUGCAAGGCCCUGGCCAUUCUUGAUGUCUUCUCAUGUUACACAAAGGAAUUCUCCUCCUCAUGUUUGUCCUUGUAAUAGCUGAUCUCAUCUACAGUGUUGGCAUCUCCCCUUCCUUGGAUCAGCACUUGAGUCUUUCUCUUACUCAUUGUGGAUAGAGAACUGUCAGGUGUCCACUCUGUCACCAUUUCAAUCUCAGUGCUAUGUGGUCUAUCUGCUUUGUAGGCAGAGAUGUUUCUGCUCUGGGCACUAGCACUUUUAGGUUCAUACAACUUCCCCUUUCCUACCUGAAAAUAGCAGACAACUAAAGGAAUCAGUACAGUAGAUGUGCUCUGCCAUUAUUCAGCUAGUGAGGUGAGGUUAAUUCAGAUUUAAGGUAAAAGUGAUUGCUGAUUCCAUAUAGACAGAGUGUUUAACUGCUGGAAGAAAUUGCAGAUAAACUAUGUUAGGACCAAAAUAAAUAAUGAUGAUGAUGAGCACAGCUGAUUUUAUACGAAAGAGGCUUAAUAGGUGGAGAUGAAGAGACAGAGAGACAGAGAGAGUGAGACAUGAUACAGGGAAGAAAGGAGGGUGCCCUGACAGAGAAAGGGGAGAGGCAAGAGAGGGCAAGGGCCAAGAGCUAAGAGAGAGAGAAAAUGGCAUUUUGGUCAUUUUAAGGAGCAACAGGACCAUGCCUGCCAGGUAUGGCUAACUGGCUGGUGCCACAUGAUGACAUCAUAGGUUGUUAGACAACCCAGAAGCAGGCUGU